GGCUGGCUGCCUCCCCACCCUCCCAGCCUUCCUCAGACUCCCCAGGUAAGGGCAGGAGCCUGGGCGUGUCCUCCCCAUCCUUCCAGCCGGACCUCUGCUGCUUGAGGGUGGGGUUCUCCCACGGCUGCUCCCCCGCCCUGCUCCUGGCAGGUCUGGAUAUGUCGCCCGCCACCAGGAAGGACACCAAGAGUCAUUCCCAAGGCUUCACCCAGAAACCCUCUUCUCCCAAAUGGAUUUUCCGUUUCCUCGUCAGGUGCCUCCAGAGUGCAGCUACACCCUCACCCACACACUCAGGAUACUCACCCCACACCUGGGCUAGGGACGAGGGAGAAUUUCAUCAGGGCUGAAUCCAUGUAAGUCCUAGGAAAAUGUUUCCUUAAUGAUCUCAGGUCCCCCAAGUUUGGGCGGAAAAGGAGGCUACAGUCAGGGUUCAAGCUACCCGAAGACUUGGCUGAGAACCUUCCAGGCUGCCCGUCCCUGGGCAUCACCUUGCUUACAUCUCACUGGACGCUUUUAGCUGCUGUGGAGUCUGGGAUGUGCUCUCAGCCGGGUGCAUCGCCUCCAGAGUAGGAUGGCAAGGAAGAAGAAGAGGCAAGUGGGGUUGGGUGGACUACGGUAUCCCCAGAAACUUAGGGGUGUAGUUAGUUGCAGGAAGAGCCGUGCCGGUACCACUCACGGACUAAGAAAAUGCUGUAUGAUUUUGCAACCAGGAGGUUCCUAGUGAGCUCUGCAGGGGCAAAGGCUCAGCAGCGCACUGGAUUGGGAGCGGAGUGUGAUUGAAGACAGGUGACAAGGGUUAAACAGUGAGUGGACAGUGGGGAGGUGGAGAUGUAGGACCCAGACUUCCCCACAGAGCCCCCUGAGUAAAGAGCAGUGAGAAAGAGAGAGAGAGGAGAUACGCACACAGCUCCAGCCUUCACUUUCACUGUGCCUUUUCUUCUCCCGGCUCCGUCUUGACAAGACUCAAUAACUGUAAAAUUGACGGAUCUGAGCUUCGGUCUCUCUCUCUCCUUCUUCCUGGGGAAAGUGCUAACGAGGAACGGAAUGGCCAAAGGCUGAACCUCAGGAGGGAUAAGCAGGUCCCAAGAAAUACGUACCAGCUGAGGCUGAGCGCGGAGGAUUUUCUCCUUGACACAAAGCUGUUAAGUUCUUACUCUUUCUCCUGAUAGUCCUUGCUUUCUCCUUCCUGUCUUUUUAUUCUUCCUUUAUGAUCCUUUCUUUCUUCCAUUCCCAAUACAUAUGUCUUAAGUAGGGAGCUUAUAUUUCUUGACCACCUACUUAUGUGCCAGGUACUGGACUUGGGGUCUCAACUACAUUAUCUCAGUUCUCCCAGCAGCCUUUGUAGUGAUGUACAUUAUUACACUCAUUUUACAGAAGAGGAAAUUGAGGCUCACAGAGUUUAAGUAAUCGGUCAAGGUCACACAGCUAAGUGAACUGCCCCUGGGAAUUACUAGAUCUGUUGGAUUCCAAAGCACUUUUUCUCUCUAUUAUUUUCUGGAGGGUUUGUGAAGUGCUAUCAAGGGGCUAAAGAAACGUCAAUUACUCACUUGAGUCCAAGGUCACAAAAGAGACAUGGAACUGCUGCUUGCUUUUUACAAAGUCCAGAUCUGUCUUUCUGUCAAGUACCACUGAUCUACUAGUAGAAAUCCUCACAAGGAAGAGCUUGAGGAACCCACUGCUUUGCCGUCUGUCUCGGUUUUCCGGGAGCUCAGCCAGCCCCCCACCAGCCGGGGUGCUCAGCCUGCAGGCAGAGUGGUGAGGUCCAGCAGCCACGUGCUCCAUUUAUAGAAUCUCUCAGACAACCGAUAAAAGAGUAGCAACUUUCAGAGCAACUUGACAUUGGUGGAGUUUCUAACAGACACGGGCAUUUUCUGCUAUUGCUCCAAUAUUUUUCAUAAGAAGUAAAAGAGGGCUUUGGCCCUUACUUGGAUUAUUAGCAGUAAUGAAACAGCAAUAAAUUCUGGAAUGAAUCCACUGGCGGCCUUUCCAAGAACAAGCCUCAGCUCUGUCUCUCUCUCCCUCUCUCUCCCUCUCUCUGGACCAGUUACAUUUCUGAUCAUGCAGUGAGAUUCUUUCGUUUGUGGAAACCUACCCCAGAACAUAUUUUAGGUGGUGAAAGAAGCCAAGAGUGAUGGCUAAACGCUUAUUUGUUUAUUUUCUCAUUAAUUGGCUCUUUAGUGAACCGAAAAUAACCUAUUUGAUCAACAAACACAUAUUGAUCUCUCCCAAGGCUGAGUGAAUGUGAAAAGACACGAUCUGACGUAGUUAGAAAAGGGUAUCCUAAGCUGCGAUACUGGUUAAUCUUUUCAUUCCAAACGUCUGGUGGAACCCAUGGCUGAUAUUUUCAAAGAGAGAAGAGCGUGGGCUAUAGCAGUGGUGGCAGCUCCUCGGAAGCAUUUGUCUUUCACUUUGGAAAAACCUGGAUCCGGACACUGGGUUGUGCAACACGAAUAUUUUCCUUUAAAAGGCAAGUACAUACAGAGGUUACCCGUGGGGAACAGGAAGGGAGGGGGCAGCGGGGAGAAAACACUUCUCUACUAUUUGUCUUUGACCACGUAUCUAACCGAGCCUUCUUUUAAAAAACAGAAACUAGUUCAAUAAAAGCAAAAAACAACCCCUGCAAAAGAGGGGGCAAGAGCAGAGAGUGUUUUUGAAAAACUCACCCCCUUGGCCCAGAUUCACCGGAAACAUAUCGUUGCUGUUUCCCUCAAGCUGAUGUACCUAUCGUAAACGCCCGAGCACCUCUGUCAGCAAGAGCACCAAGUGGAAAUGCGGAUGGCAGGGUUUCGGGGCUGGGUCCUAACUUCUGAGUUGCUCUGUUUGGUUCUAGAUGUCACAGGCACCCGGCAAGCGUGAAGGGGAAAGCAUCCCCACCUGUCAGUGGAGAUUUUCGAGCUCAGAGACUGGUUCAUUCGGAGCCCCUGCCUGGUUCUGCGUGGAUGGGCAAUCUGGCUGCAGCGAGAAGAGAGAAUAACAAGAGAUGCUCUCUCCAUCUUCUGCACGCCCUUCCUGAAAAUACAGUUGACGCUUGAACAACGUGGGCGGUGCGGAACCUACCUCCCACACAGUCAAAAGUCUGCAGACCACUAUCUCUGCUGCAAGAACAAAGGAAGGGGUCGAUGACUCACCAGGGGCGGGAAGCUGGAACGCUUUGGAUAGAGUCAGGACUCAGACCCUAGUUCUUUUGAUUACACAUCCUGGGAUCCCUAAUCGAACACAAACUUUUCCUCACACUUAGUUCAUUUAAAGAUCUGUAAAGUGGAUAUAUAGGUACUAUAUUUACUGGAAAAGAAUCUGAGAAAGAAUAUACAUAUAUACACACACAUAUAUAUAUAUGUAUAAUACAUAUAUAUAUGAAUCACUUUGCUGUACACCUGAAACUAAUACAGCAUUGUAA
This is a long non-coding RNA of Orcinus orca (killer whale), 3397 nucleotides long. RefSeq lists it as uncharacterized. NCBI's taxonomy places the organism in Eukaryota, Metazoa, Chordata, Mammalia, Artiodactyla, Delphinidae. The transcript has 3 exons. The record is from RefSeq and is a predicted model, not a curated record.